RNAcentral lists this small RNA (591 nucleotides) under Vigna angularis var. angularis. RNAcentral describes it as "Non-protein coding transcript". Lineage: Eukaryota; Viridiplantae; Streptophyta; Magnoliopsida; Fabales; Fabaceae. The record is from RNAcentral.
UCUAGCCUUUAAAAAGCACCUUUGCACACAUGAAAGUGGAGGGAGAAAGAACAUAUUUUAUUAUCAUAAGUGAAGUGAGAGUGAGAAGUAGAAGACUAGAGGAACAAAAGUGGAGGAGUUUUAACAUCAAAGAACCCAUUGGAAGAUUCUCUACAUUUAAGAGAUGAAGGAAUGUCGUCUGAAACAAUACCAACGAAGAAAGAGAUCGAAGAAUAAGUUAGAAGGAUUCAAGUAUACUUAGGAGUUUAUAGUUGAAAUCUGAGUUUAAAAUAUGUAUAUCAACUGUGAAUUUUUUUUUAAGUGUGAGAUUACGGGAUGUUACCGUAAUUGUAAGGUUAUAAUAUAUAAAUUAUGAAUUAUCCAAUGUGAGAUAUUGGGAUGUUACACUUCACGCAUCAAGCAAAGAGCAUGUCUCGGCCUGGAAGGAGUUUUUCACGAAAGCACCUUGGAGAGUAAAUGUUUGUCCUCUUUUAAAAAUGGAGCAUGGUGCACGUAGAAAGUAGAGGGGAAACUUCCCCUUAAUUGGAGAAAAGUGGAGCACCACUCAUUCAUUGUUUUGGACGGCCAGAGAAGGGGAGUUGAAGUUUUUUU